CAAACACAGAGUGGCAGAUUAGUAGCAAACAUAUCCAAAUGAGGGACAAAUGGGAAUAUCCAAAUAAACAGGCAAAAGGCUGUACUGCUUAUCCUACACAGGGGGCUGGAAGCUUGAAGCCUAUCCCAGCAGACUAAGGGGACAAGGCAGGAGGGACACCCUGGAUGAGAAAAUGGAACACUUGAACAGAAUCAUGCAGCGUAACCUGAGUGAGGAAAAAAGUUUCACACUGUGAAAAUGAAUGGCUGUUACAGGAGCCCUGAUGUCGCUUGUCAUUGAAGAACUGUGCAAGCAAAUUGAUAACUUAUAAACAAGGCACCCUGUUCACUGGACUUUUUGAUUGAAAAUUGUCACUGCAUUCAAGUUUAAAAGAGGGCAUGAUAUAACUAACUCUUGGUGAAGCUCCAUGGAAAAUGAAAAGUACAUAGCUAGUCUCUCUAUACUACUGCACAUGAAGUAGCACUAGUGAAAGUAAUUGUAUGUAUGAUACUUUAAGAUUGAUCUUUUUUCAGUAGAACAUCAUAAUUGGGUGUAAAGAAAUGUAUUCUUUAUUCAUGAUUCAUUUAAUAAAAUU
This is a long non-coding RNA of Ictalurus punctatus (channel catfish), 574 nucleotides long. Lineage: Eukaryota; Metazoa; Chordata; Actinopteri; Siluriformes; Ictaluridae. The record is from Ensembl.